Long non-coding RNA from Pogoniulus pusillus (Red-fronted tinkerbird), 374 nucleotides. RefSeq lists it as uncharacterized. The transcript is spliced from 3 exons. The record is from RefSeq and is a predicted model, not a curated record. Lineage: Eukaryota; Metazoa; Chordata; Aves; Piciformes; Lybiidae.
UCACUUCCCUAUAAAACUGAAGUAUCACAGUAUCACAGUAUCAUCAGGGUUGGAAGAGACCUCACAGAUCAUCAAGUCCAACCCUUUACCACAGAGCUCAAGGCUAGAACUGGACAUAGAUGAAAAGCACCCCAACGUGCACCUACCCACUGGGAACAGCUUGGUUUGGGGCAAGGACAUCCCCGGUGUAUCUCGGAGAUUAAGGAUGCAUAUUGCUGGUGCAGGGCCAUAUGGGUACUGAAGGCUGGACCUGUUCCCUCCUGCUGUGUGGAUUCCCAGCUUCUGGAGGCAUCAGUGAAACUUCUGUUCCUCCUGCUUUCUGUGAUUACAACCAGAUGGCUUAGAAGAAUGAUGGGGCCAGUGAGGUACCUGAA